This 2883-nucleotide unclassified non-coding RNA is filed under the name Haliotis rufescens (red abalone). Its description in RNAcentral is "protein bicaudal D-like, transcript variant X1". The record is from RNAcentral. Lineage: Eukaryota; Metazoa; Mollusca; Gastropoda; Lepetellida; Haliotidae.
CACGCUUGAAAUACUGGUCAUACAACAGUGGUCAAUCCCAGUAAUAAAGUUAAUUAAUCGGACCGGUGGGAGUUUAGAGCAGACGAUCCGACCUGGCAGGUCACGUGACCAAAGCAUAGCUGCAUAAUUAAGAGACGACAUGGCGGACGGUGAAAGGAUACUCCAGGGUCUAUGAAUCUCCAAAUUUUAAUCAAGUUUUCGCGUUUCAAAGGUCUUCCAUACCUGGGCAGCCAAAAUGACGACGCCUGUUAGCCCAGACAUGAGUUUGGAAGACCUGAGACGAGAAGUUGAGCGGCUACAAGCCGAUCUCGCUGAAACGACCCAGGAGAAGUUGCAGGCUGCGGAAUAUGGCUUGGCUGUUCUCGAGGAGAAACAACAGAUUCAACAACAGUUUGAAGAACUCGAAUCUAUUUAUGAAGGAGUAAAAGCGGAAUUAGACUGUGCCAAAGAGGCACUGAGCAAGCAUCAGAUCACUUACAAGAAACACCACGAGAGCGGCAUUCACCAUGAGGAGGCAUUCCUACAGGAGACGGUUAGCCGUGAAGAGGGCUACCGAGCAUCCAUCCACGAGCUGGAGGCCGACCUCAAGUCCUGCAAGCAGACAAUGGACCGUCUGGCUGUGGAAAACAAGAACCUCAACACUCAGACAAACGAACAUCAGAACCAGAUUGAAACCCUGGAAGUUCAACGCAACCAGCUCAGGCACGAGAUCAGAGAGUACAAGGUUCGGGAGAAUCGGAAUCUCACGGAUUACGCUGAGCUUGAGGACGAGAACAUUGUGUUGCAGAAGACUGUUUCUCAGCUGAAGCAGAGCCAGGUGGAGUUUGAAGGGAUGAAACAUGAAACAAAGAGGCUUCAGGAAGAAGCGGAGGAUCUCAACAUGCAGCUCAUGGAAACGAUGAAUUUGAAAAGGAUCAUUGAGAAAAAUCUGGAAGAAGCUUUGAAUUCCUUGCAACAGGAACGGGAACAGAAACAUGCCUUGAAGAAAGAGCUUGAUCAAAGGAUUAAUCAAGAGUCCAUGUUCAACCUCAGCAAUCUGGCACACUUUGGUGGUCUGAGUGAUGGUCUAAAGCUCACUAACAGCAUGCAUUCAGAGUCCCAAGAUUCUGGGGCAGAGGAGGAUGGAGAGGUCCAUGAUCACCCUGCACUCAAGAGGAUAGAAGCUGAUUUUGCUAAGAGAGAGGGAAUUAACAGACCUACUAAACCUCGGCCAGGUGUGGUGAAUGACAUUCUCAGUGAGAUUCAGGUGACAGAGGUUCGCAAGUUGGAACAACUACUGGAGCAGAGCGACUCUGAGAAGAUGGAGGUCCAGAAGGCUCUGGAAGAAGCCAGGAAGUUGAUAGAGGAUACACAACGUGACCUCAUGGAACAGAAGGAGAGAGCAGACCAGUUGAAAGAACAUAUCAGUGCUGUAGCUAACAUCAAGAUUAUGCAGGCAAGCACAGACUCUAUCAAAGAUCCUGAACUGGAAGCAGAGAUUGAGAACGAGACUGAUCCUGACAAGCGGGCGGUUCUGAUGCUGAAGAAGAACCUUACUCAGAAUGAAAGGAAGUACAGUACUGCUUUGAGUGAGAUAAGUGCCCUUCAGGCUGAGAUUAACCGUCUUCAGGACAAAAACCAGAUCCAUGGAGAUCCAAAUAUUGAGGCUGCUUUGGCCGAACUUCAGCAGAAGUGCAUGCAAUAUGAAGAGAACAUCAAGGACCUGGAAAGGGACUUGAAGUCCAUGACCUCUCUUGCUGGUGAUGCUCACGGCAGCCUCACUGCCACCCAGGACGACCUUGUGAAGGUCACAGAAGACCUUGCUCAGUUGUACCACCUUGUGUGUGAAGUGAGCAAGGAGACGCCGAGUCGGGUGAUGUUGGACCAUGCUAAGGGAACAGUCACAACUCGCAAGGACAUCAGUCGAGAGAGCAGCGAGGAACCAGACGACAAAAAUGGCAAGGGAGAAAACGGUGUUCAAGAAACAAAGAAAAAGCGUUCCAGGAGAAACAAAGAUGCUGCAAAUACAGCCAUGGUUAAUGGUGAUAUGAAGGGCGACCCUACCUCGUGUACAGGACUGUCUGAGACAAUAGUUGACCAGGUGAAGUUCCUCAAGGUCGCUGUUGACCACUUGGUGGACAACAUGUCGAGUCAGCAACAACAGGGCGGGGAGAAUGACGACAUGCAGGAACUUCAGGAACAGGUGGUCAAGUUGAAAGCUAUGCUUUCCACCAAACGGGAACAGAUUGCCACACUCCGAAGUGUUCUCAAAGCCAACAAGUCCACUGCAGAGGUGGCGCUAGCCAAUCUUAAACAAAAGUACGAAAAUGAGAAAGUUAUUGUGACUGAGACAAUGAUGAAGUUGCGCAAUGAGUUGAAGGCGCUGAAGGAGGAUGCUGCCACCUUCGCCUCCCUGCGUGCAAUGUUCGCCCAGCGGUGUGACGAGUACGUGACACAGCUGGACGAGCAGCAGCGCCAACUGGCUGCUGCGGAGGAGGAAAAGAAGACGUUGAACUCUUUAUUACGUAUGGCAAUCCAGCAGAAGCUGGCUCUGACACAGAGACUCGAAGACCUAGAGUUUGACCGUGAGCGCAGGAAUAUGACAAGCAGGCGACAAGGCCGCAGCAAAAUGGGGACACCCAAAGUAAGUCACAACUACAAUCCCAGUGAAGAGUAUGGUCAAAACCGAAGAGCGUACCAAAACUUCAGGAGAGAUCGAGACUAUUAGAGUAGGGAUGGUUGAUUGUGGCUGCCCAAGUGAGGGGUUUAACCAGUAAGCGUCUGCUACCGACAGAGCUGAUGUCCUGCAGCCCCGGCAGCUGCAGCAGCGAGGUGAUGACCACUAGUCUCAUGGAGGACAAGAUGCUGGAAGAUCACAAGAUGUGAGCCACCUGUCCCCCCUGU